CCGAGAACCUUGAACCUUAGUGCAACACCACUAGUGAG
RNAcentral lists this small RNA (38 nucleotides) under Plasmodium falciparum 3D7. RNAcentral's name for it is "Pfa-starR6451b". Lineage: Eukaryota; Apicomplexa; Aconoidasida; Haemosporida; Plasmodiidae. The record is from RNAcentral.